Molecule: ribosomal RNA, 253 nt
Filed under: uncultured bacterium
Lineage: Bacteria
Description: partial 16S ribosomal RNA
Rfam family: Bacterial small subunit ribosomal RNA
Source: RNAcentral
UACGUAGGGUCCGAGCGUUGUCCGGAAUUAUUGGGCGUAAAGGGCUCGUAGGCGGUUUGUCGCGUCGGGAGUGAAAACUCAGGGCUCAACCCUGAGCGUGCUUCCGAUACGGGCAGACUAGAGGUAUGCAGGGGAGAACGGAAUUCCUGGUGUAGCGGUGGAAUGCGCAGAUAUCAGGAGGAACACCGGUGGCAAAGGCGGUUCUCUGGGCAUGACCUGACGCUGAGGAGCGAAAGCAUGGGGAGCGAACAGG